This 439-nucleotide ribosomal RNA is filed under the name uncultured bacterium. Its description in RNAcentral is "partial 16S ribosomal RNA". It matches the Rfam family "Bacterial small subunit ribosomal RNA", at positions 339 to 795 of the family's 1533-position model. The record is from RNAcentral.
CUACGGGGUGCUCCAGUGGGGAAUCUUAGACAAUGGGGGAAACCCUGAUCUAGCCAUGCCGCGUGAUCGAUGAAGGCCUUAGGGUUGUAAAGAUCUUUCAGGUGGGAAGAUAAUGACUGUACCACCAGAAGAAGCCCCGGCUAACUCCGUGCCAGCAGCCGCGGUAAUACGGAGGGGGCUAGCGUUAUUAGGAAUUACUGGGCGUAAAGCGCACGUAGGCGGACCAGAAAGGCAGAGGUGAAAGCCCGGGGCUCAACCCCGGAACUGCCUUUGAAACUCCUGGUCUUGAGGUCGAGAGAGGUGAGUGGAAUUCCGAGUGUAGAGGUGAAAUUCGUAGAUAUUCGGAGGAACACCAGUGGCGAAGGCGGCUCACUGGCUCGAUACUGACGCUGAGGUGCGAAAGCGUGGGGAGCAAACAGGAUUAGAUACCCUAGUAGUC